GAUGAACGCUGGCGGCGCGCCUAACACAUGCCAGUCGAACGGUUAAAGCACCUUUUAGGUGUGUAUAAAGUGGCGAACGGCUGAGUAACACGUGGGCAACCUGCCCUCCUCUUGGGGAUAGCCUCGGGAAACCGAGGAUAAUACCCGAUACUUCAAUGCGGCCGCAUGACGACAUUGAGAAAGCUUUUGCGGAGAAGGAUGGGCCCGCGGCCUGUUAGCUUGUUGGUGGGGUAGAGGCCUACCAAGGCAAUGAUGGGUAGCUGGGUUGAGAGACCGACCAGCCAGAUUGGGACUGAGACACGGCCCAGACUCCUACGGGAGGCAGCAGUGGGGAAUCUUGCACAAUGGGCGAAAGCCUGAUGCAGCGACGCCGCGUGCGGGACGAAGGCCUUCGGGUUGUAAACCGCUUUCAGCAGGGACGAGGCGAUAAGUGACGGUACCUGCAGAAGAAGCCCCGGCUAACUACGUG
RNAcentral lists this ribosomal RNA (469 nucleotides) under uncultured bacterium. Its description in RNAcentral is "partial 16S ribosomal RNA". It matches the Rfam family "Bacterial small subunit ribosomal RNA", at positions 28 to 507 of the family's 1533-position model. The record is from RNAcentral.